This 254-nucleotide ribosomal RNA is filed under the name uncultured bacterium. RNAcentral describes it as "partial 16S ribosomal RNA". It matches the Rfam family "Bacterial small subunit ribosomal RNA", at positions 524 to 776 of the family's 1533-position model. The record is from RNAcentral.
UACAGAGGUCCCGAGCGUUGUUCGGAUUCAUUGGGCGUAAAGAGCUCGUAGGCGGCUUGGCAAGUCGGGUGUGAAAACUCCAGGCUCAACCUGGAGACGCCACCCGAUACUGCCAUGGCUAGAGUCCGGUAGGGGACCACGGAAUUCCUGGUGUAGUGGUGGAAUGCGUAGAUAUCAGGAGGAAUACCAGUGGCGAAAGCGGCACCCUAGCAUUUUUCUGACGCUCAUGUGCGAAAGCGUGGGGAGCGAACGGG